This 1000-nucleotide ribosomal RNA is filed under the name Salmonella enterica subsp. enterica serovar Derby. RNAcentral describes it as "partial 23S ribosomal RNA". It matches the Rfam family "Bacterial large subunit ribosomal RNA", at positions 1180 to 2141 of the family's 2925-position model. Lineage: Bacteria; Pseudomonadati; Pseudomonadota; Gammaproteobacteria; Enterobacterales; Enterobacteriaceae. The record is from RNAcentral.
UUACGAUUGACGGAGCGAAGCGACGUCAAAGCGUAUACAAAGUCGAGUCGGUUUAAGGAUACGUUCGUUGGGUAGGGGAGCGUUCUGUAAGCCUGUGAAGGUGUGUCGUGAGGCAUGCUGGAGGUAUCAGAAGUGCGAAUGCUGACAUAAGUAACGAUAAAGCGGGUGAAAAGCCCGCUCGCCGGAAGACCAAGGGUUCCUGUCCAACGUUAAUCGGGGCAGGGUGAGUCGACCCCUAAGGCGAGGCCGAAAGGCGUAGUCGAUGGGAAACGGGUUAAUAUUCCCGUACUUGGUGUUACUGCGAAGGGGGGACGGAGAAGGCUAUGUUGGCCGGGCGACGGUUGUCCCGGUUUAAGCGUGUAGGCUGGUUUUCCAGGCAAAUCCGGAAAAUCAAGGCUGAGGCGUGAUGACGAGGCACUACGGUGCUGAAGCAACAAAUGCCCUGCUUCCAGGAAAAGCCUCUAAGCAUCAGGUAACAUCAAAUCGUACCCCAAACCGACACAGGUGGUCAGGUAGAGAAUACCAAGGCGCUUGAGAGAACUCGGGUGAAGGAACUAGGCAAAAUGGUGCCGUAACUUCGGGAGAAGGCACGCUGACACGUAGGUGAAGUGAUUUACUCAUGGAGCUGAAGUCAGUCGAAGAUACCAGCUGGCUGCAACUGUUUAUUAAAAACACAGCACUGUGCAAACACGAAAGUGGACGUAUACGGUGUGACGCCUGCCCGGUGCCGGAAGGUUAAUUGAUGGGGUCAGCGCAAGCGAAGCUCCUGAUCGAAGCCCCGGUAAACGGCGGCCGUAACUAUAACGGUCCUAAGGUAGCGAAAUUCCUUGUCGGGUAAGUUCCGACCUGCACGAAUGGCGUAAUGAUGGCCAGGCUGUCUCCACCCGAGACUCAGUGAAAUUGAACUCGCUGUGAAGAUGCAGUGUACCCGCGGCAAGACGGAAAGACCCCGUGAACCUUUACUAUAGCUUGACACUGAACAUUGAGCCUUGAUGUGUAG